This 583-nucleotide long non-coding RNA is filed under the name Phasianus colchicus (ring-necked pheasant). RNAcentral describes it as "lncRNA (ENSPCLG00000010978.1)". The record is from RNAcentral. Lineage: Eukaryota; Metazoa; Chordata; Aves; Galliformes; Phasianidae.
AAAACAUUUGUCUACCUCAGGUACCACAGGUACCUUCACCAAACCACAGGUUUCUUCACCAAACUGUUCUUUUAUGCCUCAGUUCUGAAGCAGAACAAUUCUGAAGCCCGCACUUGGGUGAUCUUUGUUCUAAGAACACAGCUGUCACAACAGGGGCAUUUCAGCAGGCACACAUUCAGCAGGCACAGAAUUCACUGGAGAGAGGACCAUGGAUGGGCAACAAGCCUUGCAGAAUGCCCAGGCAAACCACCCCACCUUCCUGGCUCCAUGCUGCACACUGCACCCAUUCUGUGCGUCGCUGUGAUCUACCUGCCAGCAGAGCUGUACAAACGCAUCCUUCUGCAGCCACUGAUUUACAGCAGGAUGGAGAGUCAAGGAGGGAUCCCUGAAGGACAAACCUGCACUCUCAGCACUGCUGUCCUCUCUGAAAGCACUCAGCCCACACACACUGCCUUCUGCUUUUCCGGUUUUCCUGUAGGCAUCCACAUGCAGGACGGUGAGAGGUUUGUCGCAGGGAGACUGUAGGGCAAAAGUGCUUCAUUUUCACAUUCUGUUCAGCUGAUUGUUUGCUGCUCUCCCACCU